This 285-nucleotide long non-coding RNA is filed under the name Olea europaea (common olive). Its description in RNAcentral is "long non-coding RNA (OEUR_LNC004490)". Lineage: Eukaryota; Viridiplantae; Streptophyta; Magnoliopsida; Lamiales; Oleaceae. The record is from RNAcentral.
AUUGCAGCCUCUAGGGUUUUCUCUUGUGCCAGCAAGAAUAAUGAAAACCUUAAUGGACCUCAAACCCUAGUUAUGUAUUUAUAUAAACCCAAACAAGCUCGGCCCGGUCCGGUCCAAUAAUUAAUUAAUCCAAUUAAUUAAACCCGGUCCGUGAAUUAAUUAAUCCAAUUAAUUAAUUCGAAAAUAUAAAUAACAAAUUCAAUUAAUUAAUUUAUUCAACGAUUGUUAAAUUAACCAAUUGGCAAUUUGCAAUCUUCCAAUUCUCUUUUGUGUGUGACCCAUUAG